RNAcentral lists this long non-coding RNA (1012 nucleotides) under Gallus gallus (chicken). Lineage: Eukaryota; Metazoa; Chordata; Aves; Galliformes; Phasianidae. The record is from RNAcentral.
UUAGCCUUUAUGCAGCCACGAAACCAAUUUUUGUUGGACCAGAGGAAGGACAGAGGAAAGGGUAAACUUCUACUGUUCAUGAAGAUCUUUGGGGAAAGAAACAUGAAGCCCUGUCUGGACAAACAGCAAACCUGAGCAUCACAGUCCUUAUUCUGCAGCCCUGUCUGGAAAGUGGAAGCAGUCACUGUGAUCUCUACUCAGCUCUCAACAUUCAACGCAUCAAGUAAAAAAAGAAACCAGUACUGUUCUGAGGAAACUGGGAGAGUGAAUGCAUCUGAAGGACCCUUGAUUUUCAAGUCAUAUCAACAAAUGGCUCUUAAUUCUGCUGCUUAGGAAAGAGCAGAAAGAGCCCGGCUGUGCCGGCACCUGUGCAGUUGCCAGAACGAAGGGAAGGACUAUCUGGGUUGGGAAUAAAAACAUAAGUACCAUAGACUUUUUAAGCGCAUUAGGGAGUAAUUGGGAGUGGAGCCAAGGAAGUAGCAUUGGGCUGCUUCCCGUGGUUUUCAGGGAGUCUGAUGUCAUCUGAAUAGUCCUCUGCCUCCUAUGCAUUUGCAAAAUUUUACUGUAUGCCAUUAGAAGGGAGAAGUUAUUGGGGACCACAUUAGGUUUAAUACUAUUUAUUAGCUGUCCUUGCCUUUGGCUUUGUUUAAGACACACUGCAUGUUUUUAAUUGUCAUUUUUAAGGAGCACAAACGCCCUUGAGCAUAGACAUCCUAUCAUAAAAUGCAACAGUAAUAUCAGCAGGAGGUUUCAUUAAAACUUUGAAAUUUCAUCCACUCUUUUCUGAUUAAUUUUUUUCUUGGUGGCUAAGAGCUUUAACAGUGCAUUCUUACAGCUGGUUCUAAGUACAUUUUUUUCUUAUUUUAAAAGAUGAACUAUGAGCUUUAAAAAUUCACAGUUAAACUUUUUAAAAUCUACAAUAAAUGUGUGUAAAGUUUCUGCAUAAGAAGUUUAUUUAUUGAGAAGGGAAUGAUUUUUAAAAAAAUAAGAGUUCUUAAAUUCCUCUAAAUUG